GAAACAGGCGGAAAGUGUGGGGGGAGGGCCUGCGCAGGGAGAGCGAAAGGGGCUGGUGUUCAAGUCCGUGAAGCGGUCCGAGUCCGGGGAAGGCGAACGGGUACCCGAGGAAAAGAAGCUCGGCAAUGGGACCAUCCGAGUCCCGAGUCCCCCGGACACCAGCAGGGGCUGCGCGGAGUCCGGCGGGACCAGCCUUUGUUGCUUUCCACCUCCCCCGGAUUAUGCACCGAAGAGGUAAAAACUCAAAGGGGUUUUUAUUCCCUAAAAGCCUGAUAACCAUCCUCUUGGAAAUCCAUCCAGACUGGAAAGGCAGAAGAGUGUGGAGGUUUAAACUUGGCUGCAAGGAGUGGUCAUGCUUGAGCAGUCACCUACCAAGCACCUUGCAAAUUGAGGAAUGUAUUACAGUACGUAUCAGUUCAGCCAGCACUUAUUCAGGAUCCACAAUGUGCUAAGGUACUACAUGCAUGGGAGAGGGGGAAGCGUAUUUUAUUCUAUGGAAGAAAACAUAUGCCUCUCCCCCAGUCCAAUGACACUACUCUUUAACUACAUUAUAAUAAUUUCCCAACUUAAAUGAACGGGAUAAUAAUAUAUCUACAUUAAGUAUAAUUUCCUUUUACAGAGGAAAUAAAAUAUUAGAUAGUAAAAAUGUAUUUUGACUUCAAAUUUUACCCUCUACCAAUGUUGCCCUUUAAUUAGAAG
This 699-nucleotide long non-coding RNA is filed under the name Mustela putorius furo (domestic ferret). RNAcentral's name for it is "lncRNA (ENSMPUG00000030032.1)". The record is from RNAcentral. Lineage: Eukaryota; Metazoa; Chordata; Mammalia; Carnivora; Mustelidae.